AGAGUUUGAUCCUGGCUCAGGAUGAACGCUGGCGGCGUGCUUAACACAUGCAAGUCGAACGAAGAUAUUAAGAAUGAGAGCUUCGGCAGGAAUUUUUCUUAUCUUAGUGGCGGACGGGUGAGUAACGUGUGGGCAACCUGCCCUGCACUGGGGAAUAAUCAUUGGAAACGAUGACUAAUACCGCAUACGGUUCCUGGGAGGCAUCUUCCGGGAAAGAAAGGAUUUAUUCGGUGCAGGAUGGGCCCGCAUCUGAUUAGCUAGUUGGUGAGAUAACAGCCCACCAAGGCGACGAUCAGUAGCCGACCUGAGAGGGUGACCGGCCACAUUGGGACUGAGACACGGCCCAAACUCCUACGGGAGGCAGCAGUGGGGAAUAUUGCGCAAUGGGCGAAAGCCUGAUGCAGCAACGCCGCGUGAAGGAAGAAGGGUUUCGGCUCGUAAACUUCUAUCAACAGGGACGAAAGAAAUGACGGUACCUGAAUAAGAAGCCCCGGCUAACUACGUGCCAGCAGCCGCGGUAAUACGUAGGGGGCAAGCGUUAUCCGGAAUUACUGGGUGUAAAGGGUGAGUAGGCGGCAUGGUAAGCCAGAUGUGAAAGCCUUGGGCUUAACCCGAGGAUUGCAUUUGGAACUAUUAAGCUAGAGUACAGGAGAGGAAAGCGGAAUUCCUAGUGUAGCGGUGAAAUGCGUAGAUAUUAGGAAGAAACACCAGUGGCGAAGGCGGGCUUUCUGGGACUGAAACUGACGCUGAGGCACGAAAGCGUGGGGAGCGAACAGGAUUAGAUACCCUGGUAGUCCACGCCGUAAACGAUGAGUGCUAGGUGUCGGGGAGGAAUCCCCGGUGCCGCAGCUAACGCAAUAAGCACUCCACCUGGGGAGUACGACCGCAAGGUUGAAACUCAAAGGAAUUGACGGGGGCCCGCACAAGCGGUGGAGCAUGUGGUUUAAUUCGAAGCAACGCGAAGAACCUUACCAGGCCUUGACAUCCCGAUGACGCGGGCGUAACGGUCCGUUCCCUCCGGGGCAUCAGAGACAGGUGGUGCAUGGUUGUCGUCAGCUCGUGUCGUGAGAUGUUGGGUUAAGUCCCGCAACGAGCGCAACCCUUAUUCCCAGUAGCCAGCAUUUUGGAUGGGCACUCUGGGGAGACUGCCGGGGAAGACCCGGAGGAAGGCGGGGAUGACGUCAAAUCAUCAUGCCCCUUAUGGCCUGGGCUACACACGUGCUACAAUGGCGCAUACAAAGGGAGGCAAAGGAGCGAUCUGAAGCAAAUCCCAGAAAAGGCGCCCCAGUUCGGAUUGCAGCCUGCAACUCGGCUGCAUGAAGCUGGAAUCGCUAGUAAUCGCGGAUCAGAAUGCCGCGGUGAAUACGUUCCCGGGUCUUGCACUCACCGCCCGUCA
Molecule: ribosomal RNA, 1396 nt
Filed under: uncultured bacterium
Lineage: Bacteria
Description: bacterial SSU rRNA
Rfam family: Bacterial small subunit ribosomal RNA
Source: RNAcentral